GCUACAAUUGAAAAAAAAAAAAAAACAAAUUAGCUUAAGUACUUGUGCAGUACCAAAUUAUGCAAAUCUUUUCAUGCAUUUUGAGCUUUUUAUUGAUAUAAAGUAACAACAUAUGUUUGAACUUAGAACUGGAAUCACGGAAAAAAUUUGUUUAUUGAUAAAUAUAAGAUUAACAAUAAGAGUUAACUACCAAAUCCGUAUUUAAAAGAUUUAGGUAUUGCCAAAAUAGUAUCCAAAAGACCUUAUUGAUAAAAAGAUCCCUAAAUAAUUUUAAAAUUUGAUAAAAAGUUAUCAAAUAGUGGAAACUAAGGUGCAGUGAUUUC
This is a non-coding RNA of Arachis ipaensis, 323 nucleotides long. Lineage: Eukaryota; Viridiplantae; Streptophyta; Magnoliopsida; Fabales; Fabaceae. The record is from RefSeq and is a predicted model, not a curated record.